UGAGUGCAUAGUUGAUGGUCUGGUGAUAUUCCUUGCACCACCCAUCCAUACUUGUUUGUUUUGUGAUAUGGAAACCUGGGAAUACCAGAAUUAUUCCAUUGGAGUGUGUUGUGAUGGAUUUGAUCCGUAGGACUCAAUUUCUUGUUUCGUUGUUUCCGGUUGAUCCGUUGCCCCGUUCGUAACGUUCUUUAUAUGUUUUUGCAUCGUUUUCGCGUGACACAUUUGUUCAUGUCAUUCUCAUGCAUUUCUAGGUAGCUUAGAGUGAAGUUCUGUCCAGGAACUUGUAUUUUCUUCUCAGGCAUGUGCAGGUGACUAGAAUAGAGAUGCAUGUUCAUUUUCAUCUCAUGCAUCAUGUGCUUGUUGCAGCUUGUGGUGAUGUUGUUCAUUGGAUGCUAUUUUUUAUGUUGGGUAGCACUGGGAUCGGAGAACGAGUACGUGGAUCUGAGAGAGUACGUGCAGGACGAACAAGAGCAGUUCCAAGCUGAGGACAUCAUAUGCAAGAUGAUAUGACCUUGGUUCCAUCUCUAGACUUGUUAUGCUAGAUUCACGUUUCUUUCAUCAUACGCUCGCUGCCUACCACUGAAAUAAUUGCCUCCUGAUAUUGCCAUGAAACCCAAACACUUAUCCCUUCCUAGCAAAUCUUGAAUGGCUAAGUGGGCUUUGUCAGCUACUAAUGUUAGCGUUGCUAGUUGCAGGUGCAUUUGUCUCAUGUGAUAACAUGACCUUGAUAUGAUUAUGUUAAAUCUGGUAUUUAAUUAAUGCACCUAUAUACUUGGUAAAUAACGGAAGGCCUAGCCUUUUGCCGGGUGUUUUUCCGUUAUUGCCGCCACAGUUUCCGG
RNAcentral lists this long non-coding RNA (839 nucleotides) under Hordeum vulgare. RNAcentral describes it as "long non-coding RNA (HVUL_LNC004468)". The record is from RNAcentral. Lineage: Eukaryota; Viridiplantae; Streptophyta; Magnoliopsida; Poales; Poaceae.